RNAcentral lists this ribosomal RNA (301 nucleotides) under uncultured bacterium. RNAcentral's name for it is "partial 16S ribosomal RNA". It matches the Rfam family "Bacterial small subunit ribosomal RNA", at positions 509 to 807 of the family's 1533-position model. The record is from RNAcentral.
CAGUAGCCGCGGGAAUACGGAGGGAGCUAGCGUUGUUCGGAAUUACUGGGCGUAAAGCGCGCGUAGGCGGUUACUCAAGUCAGAGGUGAAAGCCCGGGGCUCAACCCCGGAACUGCCUUUGAAACUAGGUGACUAGAAUCUUGGAGAGGUCAGUGGAAUUCCGAGUGUAGAGGUGAAAUUCGUAGAUAUUCGGAAGAACACCAGUGGCGAAGGCGACUGACUGGACAAGUAUUGACGCUGAGGUGCGAAAGCGUGGGGAGCAAACAGGAUUAGAUACCCCAGUAGUCCCUGUCUCUUAUAC